RNAcentral lists this transfer RNA (69 nucleotides) under Nyssomyia flaviscutellata. Its description in RNAcentral is "tRNA-Val". The record is from RNAcentral. Lineage: Eukaryota; Metazoa; Arthropoda; Insecta; Diptera; Psychodidae.
CAAUUUAAAUUCUAUUAAAGAAUUUUCAUUUACAUUGAAAUUAAAGUUGUGUAAUUCAAUUUAAAUUGA